Long non-coding RNA from Mauremys mutica (yellowpond turtle), 2156 nucleotides. RefSeq lists it as uncharacterized. NCBI's taxonomy places the organism in Eukaryota, Metazoa, Chordata, Testudines, Geoemydidae. The record is from RefSeq and is a predicted model, not a curated record. The transcript has 10 exons.
CCGGGCUGCCGGCCUCUCCCCCUCUUGAGCCGGGUGGCCGUCGGGGCAGCCUGAGGAGACCAGGCUGCCCGUCCCUAGCGCUGCCUGGGGCCGGGCCGGGAGGGUUGGGUUGUGUUGUGGCGCACAGUUGCUGUGGCCCGCCGGAGAGGGACUAUCAGGUCGCUGGUUUCCAAGGCGCUAGAAGGGACGAAGAGGUGCCUGGUGGUUUCUCUCCAAGGAGAGACGCCUGGAGAAGAGAGGCCCCUUUACCGUGACAUCACCGGCAAACUCAAAGCUAUGUCCCGGUUUUCUGAUCACUUCAAAAACAUUUGAACCAGGAGGGACAAGAUCGUGGCUGCAGAAGAGGUCUGGACUGAGAGGUGACUUGGGUGGAGGACUUGGCCACAGUAACAGCAAACUAUUGAGGAACCAGGAACAAUAAGGAAGGCUGGAGUGGAAGAGUCUAUGCAACCUGACAUAAGGUGUACCCUGGGGACCAAAACAGUUCACCCAUUUCCAAGAAUGAGGACUGCUAUGGUUGGAAUGAAGGGUUCUCUACCCAUCAGUAUGACUGUGACUCCCACUAUAUUAGGGGAGGGAUGCAAGGCCCAAAAUUCAGACCCAGAAUCAUCUCUUCUGCAGACUAUACUUUAUCUCUUGUGGUGUUUUCCCUUAGCCUAAAGAGGAGUCAGGAAGUCCUUGUGUUUCCUUGAGAAGCAAUCAGAAUCUGACAGGGACAAGAACCUGAGUUACUGUGUCCGGUGGCCCCAUCGUUGCUUUGUGGCUCCCUGCAAUUGCAUGGGUUGCAGCUGCCUAAUACCGCUGCUGCUUAUGGAAGAAGACUGAAAGAGCUUGGCUUGGUUAGCCUAGCAAAACAAAGGGUGCCCAAAGGAGAGCUGAGCUCAUCGGAGGAUAAGAUUUCAGUUGUGGGUGCUGUGCACUGGAAAAUCAAUAAUGAAGAGCCCGUAAUGAUCCAAGUCAACAUCCCCUACCUGUCGCUAUGCUGUAUUUGCAACCACUUCUCAAGCCCAUGGGAGAUGCACCUGCACAGCAGCCACAGAAUUGAGGACUAUCUAAUUGCAAUCAAGCUUUCCAUGAUAACCUGCCAUAGGGAGGAAUUAAUUUUGUGGCAUUUUUACUAUUCUCUUUCAUCAUUUGAGUCAGAGCAAUGAAGCAUCCAUCCGGAUUAGAAGGAAAAAAUGGUACUUGUGAACAGAACUAGACUGACAGGUCUGGCAACAGAAAUCCAUGUGGAACACAUUGCAGCCACGGACACAGACAGGCAGCAUGAGUAUUAUUUAAGGUGACAAGAAAUGUCAGGGUUCCUGGAUGGUCAUGCAGGUUGUGCAGAUCAUUGUGCAGAGGCCUUGGGUCUGUGGAGACAUCUGUGGUAGAGACAAAUGUGCUGGACACAGAAGCAGGAACAAGCGUCUGUGGCUGAACUUGUCCCAAGUGGGAGAAUAAGGUACUGAUCCAGGACACUUAUCUCACCUGCUUUCAUUGGGCUCCUCCCCUGGUACGCAUUGAGCCCUGGAUGAUAUGAAUGUGUACCCACUAGCAGAGUGGGGGUCUUCGCUCUCCUUCUAGUGAUUGGCUCACAGAAGAGGAUAAAAGUCUACUAUAGUCACCGGUACAGGAGUUAGGUCUUUCGCUCAAGCAGUGUAGAUCAUCCUUUUGACAAUGAAGGUCCUGGAGUGCAAUCCCACUGACAGCCCAGGCGGGGACAUUAUGAUGUGACAUGCUCAAUAGCAGCAGGUGUCACUUUCCAAGGCCAGGCCACCCUUUAAUCCUUUUCUGUCCAUUCAGAACAAAGUAGUUGCUAACUCCCUUUGGUGGAUUUUUUCCCUUCUUUUUAAUGGCACUAGAAUAACCUUGGGGGACUAGAGGGCUUUUUCUUCAUUUUGUUGUGGCCCCUCCCCCGCCAUGGUGGUCUUUCUUCCCCCUUUGUUCCUGCUGGUCCUGAUUGUGACCUUUCCCAGAACCCAGGCCUUGCCUAGGGAUACUCCUAGGAGUUACAUACACAACGUUCAUCUCCAUUCAAAAUGCCUAGUAGCGAGGAUGCAAAUUUGGGAACAGCCAGGAGCAUAUAGUCACAAAUAUAAUAUCAUUCACUCCUUAAAACAGCUGUCGUUCAGCUCAAAGCUAGGUAUCCAGUGGGACCCAUCAGCAUUCUUCUA